Molecule: ribosomal RNA, 227 nt
Filed under: uncultured bacterium
Lineage: Bacteria
Description: partial 16S ribosomal RNA
Rfam family: Bacterial small subunit ribosomal RNA
Source: RNAcentral
UGAGUAACACGUAUCCACCUAGCCGUCUACUCUUGGACAGCCUUCUGAAAGGAAGAUUAAUACAAGAUGGCAUCAUGAGUCCGCAUGUUCACAUGAUUAAAGGUAUUCCGGUAGACGAUGGGGAUGCGUUCCAUUAGAUAGUAGGCGGGGUAACGGCCCACCUAGUCUUCGAUGGAUAGGGGUUCUGAGAGGAAGGUCCCCCACAUUGGAACUGAGACACGGUCCAA